Molecule: ribosomal RNA, 468 nt
Filed under: uncultured bacterium
Lineage: Bacteria
Description: partial 16S ribosomal RNA
Rfam family: Bacterial small subunit ribosomal RNA
Source: RNAcentral
GACGAACGCUGGCGGCGUGCUUAACACAUGCAAGUCGAACGGAAAGGCCCUGCUUUUGUGGGGUGCUCGAGGGGCGAACGGGUGAGUAACACGUGAGUAACCUGCCCUUGACUUUGGGAUAACUUCAGGAAACUGGGUCUAAUACCGGAUAGGAGCUCCUGCUGCAUGGUGGGGGUUGGAAAGUUUCGGCGGUUGGGGAUGGACUCGCGGCUUAUCAGCUUGUUGGUGGGGUAGUGGCUUACCAAGGCUUUGACGGGUAGCCGGCCUGAGAGGGUGACCGGCCACAUUGGGACUGAGAUACGGCCCAGACUCCUACGGGAGGCAGCAGUGGGGAAUAUUGCACAAUGGGCGGAAGCCUGAUGCAGCAACGCCGCGUGCGGGAUGACGGCCUUCGGGUUGUAAACCGCUUUCGCCUGUGACGAAGCGUGAGUGACGGUAAUGGGUAAAGAAGCACCGGCUAACUACGUG